RNAcentral lists this long non-coding RNA (259 nucleotides) under Elaeis guineensis (African oil palm). RNAcentral's name for it is "long non-coding RNA (EGUI_LNC023692)". Lineage: Eukaryota; Viridiplantae; Streptophyta; Magnoliopsida; Arecales; Arecaceae. The record is from RNAcentral.
GCUUGCUGGUACUUUUUUAGGAUGAACAACCCAUCGAUGGGCUAACUAUUAGUAGUUUGAAGUAGGGUCUUUUUUAAACAAAAAUCAUAUGGGGUGGUCAUUGUAGACUAUCAAUUAGGACAGACUUAUUUUCAUAUCAUAGUUUUUUUUUUUUGUAUCUUAAAGAGAAAACUCAAUAGUUAAAUAGAGAUUGAAUUUUUCUUACUAACGAAAUCUAUUGAUUUCAUAACUGAAAAAUAAUAAAAAAAAUGACACACCC